GUGGUUGUAGCUCAGUGGUAGAGUGCUCACCUUGCAUGUGGGAGGCCCGGGGUUCAAUCCUCAGCAUCACA
Molecule: transfer RNA, 71 nt
Filed under: Ictidomys tridecemlineatus (thirteen-lined ground squirrel)
Lineage: Eukaryota; Metazoa; Chordata; Mammalia; Rodentia; Sciuridae
Description: Spermophilus tridecemlineatus (thirteen-lined ground squirrel) tRNA
Rfam family: tRNA
About the family: Transfer RNA (tRNA) molecules are approximately 80 nucleotides in length.
Source: Rfam by way of RNAcentral